RNAcentral lists this ribosomal RNA (667 nucleotides) under uncultured Vibrionaceae bacterium. RNAcentral's name for it is "bacterial SSU rRNA". It matches the Rfam family "Bacterial small subunit ribosomal RNA", at positions 1 to 671 of the family's 1533-position model. Lineage: Bacteria; Pseudomonadati; Pseudomonadota; Gammaproteobacteria; Vibrionales; Vibrionaceae. The record is from RNAcentral.
UAGAGUUUGAUCAUGGCUCAGAUUGAACGCUGGCGGCAGGCCUAACACAUGCAAGUCGAGCGGUAUCAUGUCUAGCUUGCUAGAUGAUGACGAGCGGCGGACGGGUGAGUAAUGCUUGGGGAUCUGCCUUAGAGUGGAGGAUAACCAUUGGAAACGAUGGCUAAUACUGCAUAGUAUCUGCGGAUUAAAGGGGGCUUAGGCUCUUGCUUUAAGAUGAACCCAAGUGGGAUUAGCUAGUUGGUGAGGUAAUGGCUCACCAAGGCGACGAUCCCUAGCUGGUCUGAGAGGAUGAUCAGCCACACUGGAACUGAGACACGGUCCAGACUCCUACGGGAGGCAGCAGUGGGGAAUAUUGCACAAUGGGCGAAAGCCUGAUGCAGCCAUGCCGCGUGUGUGAAGAAGGCCCUAGGGUUGUAAAGCACUUUCAGUCAGGAGGAAAGGUUAGUAGUUAAUACCUGCUAGCUGUGACGUUACUGACAGAAGAAGCACCGGCUAACUUCGUGCCAGCAGCCGCGGUAAUACGAGGGGUGCAAGCGUUAAUCGGAAUUACUGGGCGUAAAGCGAGCGUAGGCGGCUGAAUAAGCUGGAUGUGAAAAACCGGGGCUCAACCUCGGCCGUGCAUUCAGAACUGUUUAGCUAGAGUCCUGUAGAGGGGGGUAGAAUUUCA